UGGGGAAUAUUGCGCAAUGGGCGAAAGCCUGACGCAGCGACGCCGCGUGAGGGAUGAAGGUUUUCGGAUCGUAAACCUCUGUCAGAAGGGAAGAAACCGCACUGUGCUAAUCAGCAGUGCCUUGACGGUACCUUCAAAGGAAGCACCGGCUAACUCCGUGCCAGCAGCCGCGGUAAUAAGGAGGGUGCAAGCGUUAAUCGGAAUUACUGGGCGUAAAGCGCACGUAGGCUGCUUUGUAAGUCAGGGGGGAAAUCCCACGGCUCAACCGUGGAACUGCCUUUGAUACUGCUUAGCUUUAAUCCGGGAGAGGGUGGCGGAAUUCCAGGUGUAGGAGUGAAAUCCGUAGAUAUCUGGAGGAACAUCAGUGGCGAAGGCGGCCACCUGGACCGGUAUUGACGCUGAGGUGCGAAAGCGUGGAGAGCAAACAGG
This 429-nucleotide ribosomal RNA is filed under the name Fusobacteriota bacterium. RNAcentral describes it as "Fusobacteria bacterium partial 16S ribosomal RNA". It matches the Rfam family "Bacterial small subunit ribosomal RNA", at positions 355 to 776 of the family's 1533-position model. The record is from RNAcentral. Lineage: Bacteria; Fusobacteriati; Fusobacteriota.